This 303-nucleotide ribosomal RNA is filed under the name Escherichia coli. RNAcentral's name for it is "bacterial SSU rRNA". It matches the Rfam family "Bacterial small subunit ribosomal RNA", at positions 10 to 309 of the family's 1533-position model. The record is from RNAcentral. Lineage: Bacteria; Pseudomonadati; Pseudomonadota; Gammaproteobacteria; Enterobacterales; Enterobacteriaceae.
AGUUUGAUCCUGGCUCAGAUUGAACGCUGGCGGCAGGCCUAACACAUGCAAGUCGAACGGUAACAGGAAGCAGCUUGCUGCUUUGCUGACGAGUGGCGGACGGGUGAGUAAUGUCUGGGAAACUGCCUGAUGGAGGGGGAUAACUACUGGAAACGGUAGCUAAUACCGCAUAACGUCGCAAGACCAAAGAGGGGGACCUUCGGGCCUCUUGCCAUCGGAUGUGCCCAGAUGGGAUUAGCUUGUAGGUGGGGUAACGGCUCACCAAGGCGACGAUCCCUAGCUGGUCUGAGAGGAUGACCAGCC